CUUUCAGAUCAGCGGAAUUGUGAUACCCACUGAUCUCGUCAAGGAGGAAAAUGCACAAAUUAGGGCCUGGGAGGAAGCACUGAGAGCUCCUCGCUGCUGGGCAGAUUAAAAGGAGAGGAUUUAUUGAUGGUUUAGAAGAGGCUGCUUUGAAACCGAGGCAGGAUGGACACACGAGGGUGGCAGCAGCUGAAGUUUACCAGGGUUUGUUAGAAGCACCCAGCGUGGUUUUUGGGGCUCGUGGCCUGUGUUUCUGAAGCCAGAAUCAGAUUGAUGCCACGGCUGCAGUUCCUGGUGCUUUAUUUGUGUCCAUCCAUCGCUGCCAGGAUGAGCAUCCCCACUUCCAGUGCAGCGUGGAAAUGAAAAUCAAAUAUUUCACGCUGUGUUGAGUCAGUGCUGGUAAUCUCCUGUGUCUGGAGUCUCCUGGGACUCCACAAAGCUCUCCCAGGGAGCGAAAUGACUGCAGAGUCCCGCACAACCACGCGGAUUUAUUUCACUGUACCGGAGCUGGCUCAGCCCACACCCCCGAGCCACAGCUGCUCCCAGAAUUAAACAGGACAAACCCAGAGCAC
This is a long non-coding RNA of Poecile atricapillus (Black-capped chickadee), 569 nucleotides long. RefSeq lists it as uncharacterized. NCBI's taxonomy places the organism in Eukaryota, Metazoa, Chordata, Aves, Passeriformes, Paridae. The record is from RefSeq and is a predicted model, not a curated record. The transcript is spliced from 3 exons.